Molecule: long non-coding RNA, 306 nt
Organism: Trematomus bernacchii (emerald rockcod)
Lineage: Eukaryota; Metazoa; Chordata; Actinopteri; Perciformes; Nototheniidae
Exons: 2
Source: RefSeq, a predicted model, not a curated record
AACUGAUUUCCCUGCUGGAUCUCUGAGUGAGGAAGAGUCUCCUCGUCUUCCUCCUCCUUUGACACAGACGAAGGGGGAUCAGGCAGUGAGACCACCUGUUCAACAACACUUUUCCUACACUCCGAAACAGGCAGAUGCCAACGGUCUGGAAACCACCACAGACGGUGGCACACCAGCCCACACAGCACUACCAGCGAGAUCGUUGCCCAAAAUCAUCUGUACCCCAUCAAUUGGCAACGCGGGACGCACGCCGAUAGACACAACCCCCCGCACCAACUCACAAUCCAGCACUAUUGUAUGACGUGA